Long non-coding RNA from Odocoileus virginianus texanus, 302 nucleotides. RefSeq lists it as uncharacterized. Lineage: Eukaryota; Metazoa; Chordata; Mammalia; Artiodactyla; Cervidae. The record is from RefSeq and is a predicted model, not a curated record.
UUAUAAAUGAAGAAACUGAGGCCCACAUUCUAGCCCUGGCCUCUGAGUGGUACUAUUUCACUGUGAGCUCCAUGUACCUUGGAGAAAUAUGAUCAGCACCUCCUCCAAAGUGUGGCUACUAUCAGAAUGCCCCAUCAGAGUUCUAAUGGGAAGAAGAAAAAUGGCUCAGAAGAGGUCUUGUUCCCUCGCCCAGAUAAGAUGUGUGAAGACAGACGUAUAACAGACCGACUGACACUCAAUGAGCUGACCACUGAUGGACAGCUGUAUCACCUCUCUUUGUUUAUAAUAAAGUCCCAGCUAAG